RNAcentral lists this ribosomal RNA (497 nucleotides) under uncultured bacterium. RNAcentral's name for it is "partial 16S ribosomal RNA". It matches the Rfam family "Bacterial small subunit ribosomal RNA", at positions 28 to 507 of the family's 1533-position model. The record is from RNAcentral.
GAUGAACGCUGGCGGCGUGCCUAAUACAUGCCAGUCGAGCGAACGGACGAGAAGCUUGCUUCUCUGAUGUUAGCGGCGGACGGGUGAGUAACACGUGGAUAACCUACCUAUAAGACUGGGAUAACUUCGUGAAACCGUAGCGAAUACCGGAUAAUAUUUUGAACCGCAUGGUUCAAAAGUUAAAGACGGUCUUGCUGUCACUUAUAGAUGGAUCCGCGCUGCAUUAGCUAGUUGGUAAGGUAACGGCUUACCAAGGCAACGAUGCAUAGCCGACCUGAGAGGGUGAUCGGCCACACUGGAACUGAGACACGGUCCAGACCCCUACGGGAGGCAGCAGUAGGGAAUCUUCCGCAAUGGGCGAAAGCCUGACGGAGCAACGCCGCGUGAGUGAUGAAGGUCUUCGGAUCGUAAAACUCUGUUAUUAGGGAAGAACAUAUGUGUAAGUAACUGUGCACAUCUUGACGGUACCUAAUCAGAAAGCCACGGCUAACUACGUG